Molecule: ribosomal RNA, 451 nt
Filed under: uncultured bacterium
Lineage: Bacteria
Description: bacterial SSU rRNA
Rfam family: Bacterial small subunit ribosomal RNA
Source: RNAcentral
AACGAACGCUGGCGGCAUGCCUAACACAUGCAAGUCGAACGAAGUCUUCGGACUUAGUGGCGCACGGGUGCGUAACGCGUGGGAAUCUGCCCUUGGGUGCGGAAUAACUUCUCGAAAGGGAUGCUAAUACCGCAUAAUGUCGUAAGACCAAAGAUUUAUCGCCCAAGGAUGAGCCCGCGUAAGAUUAGCUAGUUGGUGGGGUAAAAGCCUACCAAGGCGACGAUCUUUAGCUGGUCUGAGAGGAUGAUCAGCCACACUGGGACUGAGACAGGCCCAGACUCCUACGGGAGGCAACAGUGGGGGAAUAUUGGACAAUGGGCGAAAGCCUGAUCCAGCAAUGCCGCGUGAGUGAUGAAGGCCCUAGGGUUGUAAAGCUCUUUUACCAGGGAUGAUAAUGACAGUACCUGGAGAAUAAGCUCCGGCUAACUACCGUGCCAGCAGCCGCGGUAAU